RNAcentral lists this ribosomal RNA (446 nucleotides) under uncultured bacterium. RNAcentral's name for it is "bacterial SSU rRNA". It matches the Rfam family "Bacterial small subunit ribosomal RNA", at positions 330 to 793 of the family's 1533-position model. The record is from RNAcentral.
ACCAGACUCCUACGGGAGGCAGCAGUGGGGAAUAUUGCACAAUGGGGGAAACCCUGAUGCAGCGACGUCGCGUGAGUGAUGAAGUAUUUCGGUAUGUAAAGCUCUAUCAGCAGGGAAGAAAAUGACGGUACCUGACUAAGAAGCCCCGGCUAACUACGUGCCAGCAGCCGCGGUAAUACGUAGGGGGCAAGCGUUAUCCGGAUUUACUGGGCGUAAAGGGAGCGUAGGCGGCCUGCCAAGUCUGAUAUGAAAUACCGGGGCUCAACCCCGGGGCUGCAUUGGAAACUGGCAGGCUGGAGUGCCGGAGAGGCAGGCGGAAUUCCUAGUGUAGCGGUGAAAUGCGUAGAUAUUAGGAGGAACACCAGUGGCGAAGGCGGCUUACUGGACUGUAACUGACGUUGAGGCUCGAAAGCGUGGGGAGCAAACAGGAUUAGAUACCCCCGUAU